GACGAACGCUGGCGGCGUGCUUAACACAUGCAAGUCGAGCGGUAAGGCCUUUCGGGGUACACGAGCGGCGAACGGGUGAGUAACACGUGGGUGAUCUGCCCUGCACUCUGGGAUAAGCUUGGGAAACUGGGUCUAAUACCGGAUAUGACCACAGCAUGCAUGUGUUGUGGUGGAAAGAUUUAUCGGUGCAGGAUGGGCCCGCGGCCUAUCAGCUUGUUGGUGGGGUAAUGGCCUACCAAGGCGACGACGGGUAGCCGACCUGAGAGGGUGACCGGCCACACUGGGACUGAGACACGGCCCAGACUCCUACGGGAGGCAGCAGUGGGGAAUAUUGCACAAUGGGCGGAAGCCUGAUGCAGCGACGCCGCGUGAGGGAUGAAGGCCUUCGGGUUGUAAACCUCUUUCAGCAGGGACGAA
This 417-nucleotide ribosomal RNA is filed under the name Rhodococcoides fascians. RNAcentral's name for it is "bacterial SSU rRNA". It matches the Rfam family "Bacterial small subunit ribosomal RNA", at positions 28 to 449 of the family's 1533-position model. The record is from RNAcentral. Lineage: Bacteria; Bacillati; Actinomycetota; Actinomycetes; Mycobacteriales; Nocardiaceae.